RNAcentral lists this long non-coding RNA (200 nucleotides) under Carica papaya (papaya). RNAcentral describes it as "long non-coding RNA (CPAP_LNC004299)". Lineage: Eukaryota; Viridiplantae; Streptophyta; Magnoliopsida; Brassicales; Caricaceae. The record is from RNAcentral.
UAAUUAAGAACUCUGACAUGACUCUUGAUGGUAAGUAGUGAUGGUAACUCUAAUUGCGUUUGAAAUCUUAUGAUGUUAUUUAAAUAUUAUUUUUCUUACUGAAUAUAUGGAACUCACCCUUUUCAUGGCCCCCCCUCCCAAAUGAAGAGGAUAGUGAGGAACCGAUUGCUGACCUACCAUUUGAAAUCUUUGAGGAUCCA